This 305-nucleotide ribosomal RNA is filed under the name uncultured bacterium. Its description in RNAcentral is "bacterial SSU rRNA". It matches the Rfam family "Bacterial small subunit ribosomal RNA", at positions 333 to 656 of the family's 1533-position model. The record is from RNAcentral.
GGCUACCUACGGGGCGCAGCAGUGGGGGAUAUUGCACAAUGGGGGAAACCCUGAUGCAGCGACGCCGCGUGGGUGAAGAAGCGCCUCGGCGCGUAAAGCCCUGUCAGCAGGGAAGAAAAUGACGGUACCUGAAGAAGAAGCCCCGGCUAACUACGUGCCAGCAGCCGCGGUAAUACGUAGGGGGCAAGCGUUAUCCGGAUUUACUGGGUGUAAAGGGUGCGCAGGCGGCGUGUCAAGUCAGCGGUAAAAUGUCGGGGCUCAACCCCGGCCGGCCGUUGAAACUGGCGUGCUCGAGUUGUAGAGAG